UCGCCCUAAAUGUCCCGCCUAAUUCUCUUAUUCCUGCUCCCACACCCUACUCCACGAUUAUCAGAUCCCUCAAACAACAAACUCAACCUACACUCCCAAAAAUCAACUGCUCUUCACUAGAAACGUUCUUACAUAAAAGCUCAAAUUCUCGGAAUCCUCUCAAUUUCGUCUUUAAUCUGUUACCUAAAGCAAAUCCCCUCAAAUUUGUUCAAAAUCUGUAACAAUCCUCUCAUUCCUAUCAAUAUUUAAGGAUGGAAAUCUCGGGUUAAGGGUUCUUCACAAUUGCCCAAACAAAACCAUCUCAAGUUUCUAUAAAUUAGUGUUUUUUCUGGAGAAAUUCGUCUGAGUUGUGGGUUGUAGAGUUACAGCUCCUUUGGUUUGUCAGAUAGAUUCGCCCAAUUCACUCAAGAAAUUCUUGAAGGUCAUAUUUACUACUAGAUGUCAUUUCUGUGAGCGCUCUCGUCAUUUUUGUUACACGUGUAGCUCUUGGAUACAAACAGACGUGGAAUAGAUAUGAGCUACUCGUCAACAGGGCCCUGUAUGAAAAAAACUUUGGCUAGUGGGCUUGGCUCUGUUUAUUUUCUCCUAGAUGCUUCAGAACACCAAUUACUGAUGAUUCUUGUGGCAAUGGUGAAAAGCAGGCCUAGACAUGAGACUUUGACACUAUUGCCAAAGGCAAGGUUAGUAUAAUUGUAGAAGCUGAUCCUGAAGUCUUACGCGAUAAGCGUGUUCAACUUGCUGUCGAAGGAAGGUUAUGUGAUUAUGCAAUAUCUGUCAGAGAAGCUGCUUUGGAACUUGUUGGAAGGCAUAUUGAAUCUCAUCCUGAUGUUGGUUUGCAAGGAUACCCCUCACCUUUCUCGCCGUCUCCUCCGAUUUCUCCCCUCCCUCUCUCCUCCAUGUAAAUUCUGGAAGCUCUAAUUGUCAGGCUUGAGAAGUUGAUGUUCAUCAACGUAAUUACCACACCGAAUUCGAGGUUUAUCUUCAAUAAUAGUGUCUGAUUCAAUCAUCAAUUCCCAAUGUUUCUAAGGAUUUCUGCAAGAAAAAGAGGGCGAAUAAGUCGCCAAAAUUGAAGCAGUGUAAGCUUGAUGCUCGCCUUGAAGAAUGGCUUCCGCAAGAUUCGCGAAUGAAAAAGCCAGAGGUGUAUGUGACUUCUUCAUUAAGGUCUAACAGGAAAGUAUCUGGUUUGGUGGACAAAGGUAACUUAAUACAAUCAUAGAUGAAGAUAAUGAAUCCAUAAUGUUGUUUUUAUUUCAUUUAUCAGUGGAAAGCUGCAAAAGAGGAGAAAGAGUAAUGUAAAACUCUGUUAGAAAUUCUUUAAAAGAAGAGACAACGAGAGAUUGAGGGAUGGCGCGCGCAGCAGAUUGCAAGUGGGGAGAUACGGAAGCUAUUGUGGCGACAAUGAAAGAAAACCAGAUUAACUCUCGGAGAGGGCCAAGCCUGUUUGGCAUGUUGGUAACGAAUAAGUCUUGGCAACAUUAUGCACAAUAGGAAAAUCACCAGCAAUAUGCUGUUCCCAGGUCGCCGUAUGCUGUAAUUUAAAAACAACGCCACCACCACCAACAUGUCGUCUUUCUUGA
This is a long non-coding RNA of Spinacia oleracea (spinach), 1577 nucleotides long. RefSeq lists it as uncharacterized. The record is from RefSeq and is a predicted model, not a curated record. The transcript is spliced from 9 exons. NCBI's taxonomy places the organism in Eukaryota, Viridiplantae, Streptophyta, Magnoliopsida, Caryophyllales, Amaranthaceae.